This 180-nucleotide non-coding RNA is filed under the name Candidatus Krumholzibacteriia bacterium. RNAcentral's name for it is "6S RNA". It matches the Rfam family "6S / SsrS RNA". From Rfam's summary of the family: E. coli 6S RNA was the first non coding RNA to be sequenced, but its function was unknown until recently. It consists of 184 nucleotides that fold into an extended hairpin structure with a large single-stranded internal bulge. Lineage: Bacteria; Candidatus Krumholzibacteriota; Candidatus Krumholzibacteriia. The record is from RNAcentral.
AAUUCCCUACCAUGUUGGUGAUGGAAAGGUAACUAUUGAGCCAACACCUCAUUGUGGGAAGCCUUAAUGUAGCAGGAACUGUCAUGCCUCAUUGAGGAAGGCACUACUUGUUAUGCGGGCAUCCACUUGGACCUACUAGGUUCAAAAGUUCCCUUACACACGGCAUAGCGUGGGGAAUUU